UUAAGCUGGUUGGUACACAGUCGAGUUCACCCACAGAGUAUUUUAAUUUACUAUUUCUUCUAAUUGCUUGUGUUGAAUAAACCUUCAGUAGGUUCUUUUUGACCUACAGAGAAAGCAGAUGGAUUACACCAACCUCACACUUUUUAUCUUUAUAUGGAUUUUUGUUCCAUCCUGAUGAUCAGAAGAGUGUUUGAGGAUUUAACAGAUUUCUUGAGAACAACAUGGACGUUAAACCUGUAAAUCCUGAACCAUGAAAUCAUUGCUCGAUCAUUCAAAUUUUAUUGGUCCAACGCAUCAAACGUGACUCCAACGUCACUUCCGUACGAGACGUUGCAUCCUGUAAGUGUGGAGUUUGACCGAGCGGCUGAACGACAGAUCGGUUCUAACAGUCAGUGACUUUCAGCUUUAUUUAAACCUUAAAUUUAAUCUCGUUUUGUCAGGUUUAAACUCAGGUUCAGUUAUUGAGUGAAAACACCAACAGACUCAGACAUUUAGGACAAACUAAGAGUCAGAUGAGCAGAAACAGAGAACACGGACAUGUCUGCUGUAACUGCGUCACUCUGCUCCACUUUGCUGAUGUUCGAUGGAGUCUUCAUGUUUGUCUCUGCAGAUUUUCCACCCUGAUGACCACAGAGGCCUUUGAGGCUUCCAGACGUCCUUCACAACAACAACCAGGAAAUCAUCACAGCUGAGUCUGGACAGAACGUCACGCUGACAUGUCGAGCUUCAAACAACAUUAUAGCAGUAAACUGGAGCAGAGCUGACCUGGGAACAAAAUAUGUCCUUUUUUACCGGGAUGAGCAGUUUGUUCCAGACCGCCAGCAUCCAUCUUUUAAGAACCGUGUGGAUCUGCAGGACAGACAGAUGAAGGAUGGAGACGUGUCUUUGAUUCUGAAGAAUGUGACGAUUAAUGACACUGGAACAUACGAGUGUCGAGUUGCCCAAAAAGAACCAAACCAAGAGAUAUCCAGUUUGAAGCUCAUCAGCAUCAUCUACCUUCAUGUUGAUCCUCCAGGUCAGACAGGAGGAUCUGUUGGACUGAUCGUUGGUCUGUCAUUUCUUGCUGUGCUUCUUGUUGCUGCUGUUGCUGGAUUUUUGGUCUGCAGAAAACGUGAGAAAACAAAGAGUCAGGAUCCAUACCAGAUUCCUGCUGAACUGCAGCCUGUUUGAAAUGUGAGUUUCUUACAGCUGAGCUCCUGGAGUCUGAGUCUCCUGAUGAGCCAGAGUUCAUUUAUUGUUAUUGAACAUUCAGAAGAUGAUCUGAGGACAGACAUCAGUCAGCUGUCGGUGAUUUGAAGUUACUGUUUUUGUUUGUUUGUUUGCUUUGUGUGCAUCAGUAUUAGUUAUUAGUUUGUUUUAGCUUCCAGGUUAGUCGCUCAUCUCAGUGGAAGAGUUUAUGUCCUUAAACAGUGUUAUUUACACCUUUGCCUUAUUUCUAUGUGGAACAUUCAGGACUUCAUCAUUCAAACAAAGUUUGUUGUCUCUGUUAAAAUAUCAGUGAGUUUGUUUCAUCUUCAGGUUCAGCUGUUUGUAAGGUCAGACUCACAGACUGAUCCUCAUGUUUAGAUUUGCAUGAACAUGCUUUUCAGCAUCUCUUUAUUGACCACUUUUCACACACGGUUGCUGUACGCAUACAGCCGGCUGCAGCUUUUCAGCUCACAGCCCGACACAUACCAACACAACAGCAUAGAGAGCACAGAUGUAAAGGCGGCGAGGCGUGAUUGCGGGUGCCGCUCAGGUGCGUCCGCCUCCCAAUUAUUAGUAUUAAUAUUAUUAUUAUCUAUUCUCUAUAGAUUUAUACUCCAGUGUUUGGCGCCCCUGAAGUCCUCAGAGAGGUUCGAACAUCAGCACAAGAUGAUUUUGAAAAGAAUCUAGAGACCUGUAGUUUCUUGUUUUUACAUAAUGAUUUGAGAUCCUGCAGCUUCCACAGAACAACAACAUGUGCUGAUAAUCAGUGAACAUAAUGUGUGAGAGAAAGCAGCCUCUCAUUAUAAGACACUGUGAGUCUCUGCAUGCUGCCUUUAUGGAGCUACAGCUGUUUGUAUACACUGAACAAAAAGCUUUGUAGCUGUAUACUGACUCCUGACACUACAACACAGAGCAGAGUAAUUACAGCAGACAUUUCUGUGUUCUCGAUCUGACUCUUAGCUUUUUCUAAAUUUCUCACAGUCUGUCAUGCGAUUAAAAUUUAGGUUUAAAAAAAAAACACCCCUGAAAGCCACUGUGUCAGUAACACAACACAAAGUGCUCAGGGUCCAUUUAUCAGCUAGAACUGAGUGACUGAAUAAUCUGAUAUUAUUAUGAAACCAAAGAGAAAUGUGUUACAUGGAGCUGCAGGGUCACAUGUUUCCUCCUCUGAUCUAUGAAGCCUUAACUUGUUCCUCCAUGAAGGAGACUCUUCAGUUUAAACACGUCAAGAUUAUUUAUUAUUUUAUUUUUUAUACCAGUUUAUCGAUAAAGUUUAAACGUGUUACUCUUGAAUGUUUUUCUUUGCUUCCUGUAGCUGUAAACAUUUCCUGAACUCCUGUUUAAAUGUGUGCAGAUUUGAUCUUGAAUGUAACAGUGUGAACAUUAAUAUACUUAACUUGACAUUAUUACAACCUGUGAUCUGUGGAAGCUCAGUAUUGCCUCCUCUCAGAGGAGGUAAAAGACAGUGUUGAAACCUGGCUGUUCAUGAUGUUUGUGUAUGUGUUGUGUUAUUGAGCACAACACUGUACACAGUUUUUCUGUGUUAACAUCUUUGUGCCUAAUUUAUGGGACAAGCAUGUUAAAUGUUAAUGAGAAGAGCUACAAGUUGAUUUGUACUUUGAAAUGAUCAAACAUUCAUAUUUCACGAUACACUUUCUAUGCGAGCUAGCUUCUGUGCUACUAAAACCUGCUGUUAUUUUGCUGUUAAUGUAUCCUGUUCAUAUGCACAUAAUAAACAUAAUCUCUGAAUGAUAAACAAA
Molecule: long non-coding RNA, 2948 nt
Organism: Oreochromis aureus
Lineage: Eukaryota; Metazoa; Chordata; Actinopteri; Cichliformes; Cichlidae
Exons: 5
Source: RefSeq, a predicted model, not a curated record